Molecule: long non-coding RNA, 1359 nt
Filed under: Scleropages formosus (Asian bonytongue)
Lineage: Eukaryota; Metazoa; Chordata; Actinopteri; Osteoglossiformes; Osteoglossidae
Description: lncRNA (ENSSFOG00015031161.1)
Source: RNAcentral
AUGCAUAUGGCGAGUCGCGAGGAUGAUGAUGAUGAUGAUGAUGAUGAUGAGAUGGAGGAUUGCCUCCCAAACAGGACGAAACCUAACAAAAGCUCUGAUGAUGAAGAGUGCGAAGGCCGAAGUUCUCCAAAGCAUCCUUAUCAAAAUGGGAAGAAGAUGGAAAAGACCGAACCUAAGACCUGUGGCCCUCACAAUAAGUAUUCAGGGAAAAAGAAAAAGUCAGCGUUAAAUGAAGGAAAGCAGUCUUCCCCAGAUCCAGACAUUCGGGGUAAGCCACAUGGAAACUUCUCUACUUCAAAGUCUGGUGAACUUGAUAUUCCAAAGAGGCUAAGGGUGAGAAGAAAAGAGUUGGAGUCUGAGGAAGAAGAGCUGAAAGAGAGAAAUGCUGGCAGACCAGAUGAUGAAACUAGCAAUUCUAAUAGAAGACGACAGCUGCAAAAGAACAGGAAUGGACCUAAAAUGCAUGGCAGCCAUUCUUCAGAAGCAAGGCCACAAAAAAAAUCUCAUGUUAUAGUGGAUGAUUCUGAAGGUGGAGGGGAGGAGGGCAUCCCCCCAAAAAUCAAAACCAUAAGAAAAAAGCAGUUUGCAUCUUCUAAUGACUCAUCAGAAGGAAAGAGUGAAGAGUCAGAGAGUGACAAGAACACAAUCUCCAACAGAAGGCCUUGUCUUCGGCCUUUGGUAAAAAAGAAGUAUGUCAGCGAUGACUCAGAAGACAACUCAAACUCCAGUAGCCAAAGUCGGUCAACCAGCAAAACCAACACUGCUACAACAAAAAGAUUCCUUCGUGAACGGGGUAAAGCUCAAAAUGGCAAUUCAAAAAAUGGCUCCUGCAAAAGGAAAUACCUUUGUACAUCGGGAUCUGAGGAUGAAUCUCAAGGUUUAAAGCAGGGCACAUCAGACAUGGAAGAAGGCGGCGGGGAUAACCUGAAAAGAACUCGGGCUAAACGAAGCAGGACCAGACCACAGACUGAGUCUGAAACAGAGGAUGAGCAGAGGAGGGGCAACUUGUCGAUUUGCAGUGGGCCAAACAAAUCGACUGAGGGUGACAUUGGGUCUUCAGGUGGACUGAGGUCAGUGUUCAACUCCCGACGCCGGGGUGGUUACAGCAGCAGUAGUGCCUCUGACUAUGAUGUGGACGAGGAAUCAUCCCCCUCCAAGUCACAGUCUCCCAGCUCAGGGUCUGAGAGCAGCCCAAAGCGAAGAAAUGGUAGAAUGCAAAGGGUUGUAAAAGCCAGAAAAAAGAGGCGAAAGAUGUCAGAGGCAGAGAGCAAUGACAAAUAUGGGAAGCUGCGGAGAUGCACGACGAUCAGGACACGAAACUGUGGCAGACGGACUGUGACAUAUCAUGACAGCGAAUGA